UGAAAUUUCACAUGUGAAUUUGGAACAUGUGAUUUUUCACAUGUGAAAUUUCACAUGUGAAAUUUCACAUGUGAAAUUAUGUUUCACAUGUUCCAAAUUCACAUGUGAAACUUCA
This is a non-coding RNA of Paramuricea clavata, 115 nucleotides long. The record is from the annotation of a GenBank genome assembly. Lineage: Eukaryota; Metazoa; Cnidaria; Anthozoa; Malacalcyonacea; Plexauridae.